GGUGAUUACAGAAUAAAUGUACUGUAAUAUAUUCGAUUAAACACUGAUCAUUUACUUAAACAUGAACUGAAUGAUGAAGUGUGUUUUCUGCAGUUUCAUCAAGACAGGAAGUAAAGUGAAAUAGUGAGAAGUGUGUUGACUUCACACUUCAUUAAUGCUUUUGUUUGUUUGUUUGUUUUUUCCUUCAAGGGUUGUGAACAUGACAAAGAGGAAGUCCUGACACAUUACAGAUUAGUCUCACUGGAUGCUCACAGCCUGAAAAACAUGCUGCACAUGUCAGCAGUUCUGUGCUAUGCUUUCUUCUGUACAGUAUGUACUCAUUUUAUUAAUGCAUUUUUUACAUGUCCUGCAUUUCUGUUUCUCUCUGUUCCAGUUUAUGUUGUACCGGUGACACAUACAGAGGCAGAAGACAAAGAAAGAGGAAGUCAGCAUCUCAUCACAUUCAUGAUUCACACCCUGCCAGGAACCACCUGAAACACACACCGAGAGCCUCAGACCCAUGUAGAGAGGAAUCUACUAACAACAGAGAAGAUCGUCACUGUGAUCUUCAGAAAUCUGAGUGAACAGGAUUCUGGGAAGUACAAGUGUGGAGUUGAUAAGUUAGGAAUAGAUUCCUACACUGAAGUGAAUCUGAACGUUAUAACAGCGCCAAAAACAGUAUCAGUAUCAUCACCAUCACCCUCAACAACAACAUCAUCAUCAUCAUCAUCAUCAUCAUCAUCAAUCACAACUCCACCUAUUUCACUAAAUUCCCAGCCAUCGACAUCUGAUUUCACAUUGGAUUCUCCGUCUGUCUCGAAUGGUUUGUGUCUGAUCAUCGUCGUGUCUGUGGUUCUUCCUCUGCUCAUCGCUGGACUCGUUUCAUGUAUAGUGACUGUCUGCAUGAAGCGUCAGGCUCGAGCUAAAGGCUCUGAUUCAGCCUCUAAAAUGCCUGAACCUGGAACAGAAAACAGUAAAGCGGUUCCUCAAACGCUGUACAUUUACGAGGGGAUUAAAGACACCAGAACUGCCCAAUUACCCACAAACCCCUCUGAUUCCACUAAAACAGUUUAUGCUACGGCCCAGUUACCCACAAACCCUUCUGGUUCUAUUACCACAGUUUAUUCUACUCCGCAAUUACCCACAAACCCCUCUGUUGAGUGGCAUAAACAGUGUAAGAAUCAGUUAACCACAAAUCCAUCUGCUUCUUGCUAUGUUUAUGCUACUCCAGGAUUACCCACAACCCCCUCUGAUUCUACUAAAACAGUCUAUGCUACUCCACAAUUACCCACAACCCCCUCUGAUUCUACGAACACCGUUUAUGCUAACGUUUAACAGUGCAGAAGUUCGCAAGAGCCAGGGAUUAUAGUAAAUACAUGUUUUACAAGUGAUUGACCAUUUCAAUUUGUUGUUGUACCUGAUGAAGUCAUAUAUAUAUAUAUAUAUAUAUAUAUAUAUAUAUAUAUAUAUACACAUCUCAAAUAUUUUCUCAUUUUGCUUAACAUUGUAUGUGCAAUAAUGUGUUUUAUGUGUGGUUUGUUGUAUAUAUGUAUAUAUGUAACUAUGAACAACAUAAACAGAGGUGGAAAGAGUACAAAAAUAUUCUACUCAAGUAAAAGUACCAUUACAUUAAUGAAAUUUUACUUAAGUACAAGUAAAAGUACCAGUCUAAAAAUCUACUCAAGUAAAAGUAAAAAGUAGCUCAUUUAAAAUUUACUCAGAGUAAAAAUUACUUAGUUACAUUUUAACAGUGGGAGGGAGUCAAAAUUGGGACAGACCAAGGGUGUCGAACUCAGUUCCUGGAGGGCCACAGUCCUGCAUAGUUUAGAUAUAACCCUAAUUAAACACCUGAUCCAGCUAAUCUAAUUGUUUAGGCUUAUUUGAAAACUACAUGGUAGGUGUGCUGGAGCAGGGUUAGAACUAAACUCUGCAGGGCUACGGCCCUCCAGGAACUGAGUUUGACACCCCUGGGAUAGGCCUAUUAAUCUCAAACCAGUUGUUUUUAAUUAAAGGAAUCAGUUAUUUAGAGUAAUAAGACAUUUGGGCUGUUACCAGGCAAAUCAGUAUCAACAAAUUCAUCUUUUCAAUGCAGAGGAAAUGCAGAAGCUUCAUUGGAAGUGGCAUUUAGAUGUAUUUACACACUGUUUAGUGCAGCACAAAAAUGCAUUUAACCUGCAGUUACAAAUGCAUGAAUAAUGUUUUGAUAUACAAGACAUAAAAUGUUGAAUACUCAUUUGAAAUGAUAAGAAAUUAAUUAUUUAAAAAAAUCAAAAGAUAUUGCGAUUCAUUGGGAGUCAUUGCGAUUGAACCGAAUCAUUCAGGAACGAAACACUGUCAUGUUGCUCAGAGACGCAAAACUGUGCUAUGGUGGCUGUGUUUGGAAUUAUUUUUUGUUGUAGAAAUAGAGCAAAAACAGGCAAUAUGGUGUCUAAAACGCAAGUCUCUUAAUUAACUUGUUUACUGACCUGUAUAUAUAGCACACUCCGCACCAGUCUUUUUGGCUAAUUUGUGUAAAACCUCUUGCUAAAAUGUCAAAGCUUUAUUUUAACCACCAAUGCAACGAUGCAAUUAUUUAGCUUACCUCUAUAUGCUUGCGAAGGGUUGACGUCUUGUCGAGAUUUUAUUAGCUGCUAGUUUGGUCUUCCUAGGCAAGCACAGCUUGCACUGCUUAAUAAAGCAUAAAUAUGGCCAGGGCUUCA
Cyprinus carpio (common carp) is the source of this 2678-nucleotide long non-coding RNA. Lineage: Eukaryota; Metazoa; Chordata; Actinopteri; Cypriniformes; Cyprinidae. The record is from Ensembl.